This 129-nucleotide small RNA is filed under the name Aotus nancymaae (Ma's night monkey). RNAcentral's name for it is "sRNA (ENSANAG00000012650.1)". Lineage: Eukaryota; Metazoa; Chordata; Mammalia; Primates; Aotidae. The record is from RNAcentral.
AGUGGGCCAAGAGCUUUAUUUAGCUGCCCUGAAAUCUCAGACCUGGAACAAGACUCCUAAGCAGGUGUCCUUGCUGCCCAAGAGGACAAAAGCUUGUGAGCUGGCUUGGCCUCUCCGGGAAGACAGCCA